RNAcentral lists this ribosomal RNA (253 nucleotides) under uncultured bacterium. Its description in RNAcentral is "partial 16S ribosomal RNA". It matches the Rfam family "Bacterial small subunit ribosomal RNA", at positions 524 to 776 of the family's 1533-position model. The record is from RNAcentral.
UACGGAGGGUGCAAGCGUUAUCCGGAUUCGCUGGGGUUAAAGGGUGCGUAGGUGGGCAGGUAAGUCAGUGGUGAAAUCUCCGGGCUUAACUCGGAAACUGCCAUUGAUACUAUCUGUCUUGAAUACCGUGGAGGUCAGCGGAAUAUGUCAUGUAGCGGUGAAAUGCUUAGAUAUGACAUAGAACACCAAUUGCGAAGGCAGCUGGCUACACGAAUAUUGACACUGAUGCACGAAAGCGUGGGGAUCAAACAGG